RNAcentral lists this ribosomal RNA (566 nucleotides) under uncultured Halobacteriales archaeon. Its description in RNAcentral is "bacterial SSU rRNA". It matches the Rfam family "Archaeal small subunit ribosomal RNA", at positions 339 to 908 of the family's 1478-position model. The record is from RNAcentral. Lineage: Archaea; Methanobacteriati; Methanobacteriota; Halobacteria; Halobacteriales.
UCGCGAAAACUUCGCAAUGCGCGUAAGCGUGACGAGGGGACCCCAAGUGCCUACUUACAAAGUAGGCUUUUACGGAGUGUAAAAAGCUCCGGGAAUAAAAGGUGGGUAAGACUGGUGCCAGCCUCCGCGGUAACACCAGCACCUUAAGUGGUGACCGCGUUUACUGGGUUUAAAGCGUGCGUAGUCGGCUCAGCAAGUCUUCUGUGAAAUCCUGCGGCUUAACCGUGGGGAUUGCAGAAAAUACUACUGGGCUCGAGGCCGGGUGAGGUGUGGGGUAUUCUAGGGGUAGCGGUGAAAUGCUAUAAUCCCUGGAGGACCACCGGUAGCGAAGGCGCCACACUAGAACGGGCCUGACGAUGAGGUACGAGAGCUAGGGGAGCAAACAGGAUUAGAUACCCUGGUAGUCCUAGCCGUAAACGAUGCUGGUUUAGUGUCCCCUAAACCUCGUGUUUGGGGGUGCUGAAGGGAACCGUUAAACCAGCCACCUGGGGAGUACGGUCGCAAGGCUGAAACUUAAAGGAAUUGGCGGGGGAACACCACAAGGGGUGGAUGCUGCGGUUCAAGUU